GAUGUCGGCAGCGUGGGACAGCGCGGCGUCGCCGUCGCCGUCGCCGGUGGUGUCGCCGUCGCCGUCGCCGGUCGUGUCGUCGGUGGUGUCG
This 91-nucleotide transfer RNA is filed under the name Enhygromyxa salina. Its description in RNAcentral is "tRNA-Asp". Lineage: Bacteria; Pseudomonadati; Myxococcota; Nannocystales; Nannocystaceae. The record is from RNAcentral.